This is a long non-coding RNA of Gallus gallus (chicken), 9382 nucleotides long. RefSeq lists it as uncharacterized. The record is from RefSeq and is a predicted model, not a curated record. The transcript is spliced from 6 exons. Lineage: Eukaryota; Metazoa; Chordata; Aves; Galliformes; Phasianidae.
AGUGGGGUCCAGAUAGGUCAUACCCAGGAGAUCGCUGGGUGCGUAGCUGUCACCGCAGGCAGGAUUCAGCUGCAUGCAGCCGUCAGGCACAUCAGGAAAUGUGCUUCUGCCUAAAGGUGUGUUUGAGAAUUAUGAGAGCCUUCAAUUCUCAUACCAGACUACACCCACACAAGUCAAUUCCAGUUCCAAAUGACUAAAGGUCAUGUGAAUGGCAAAAAGUAACAGAGUAGUCUGAAAUGAUUAGAAGAUCCAUGGGAAUGGAAGCUUUCAGAAGGAGGAAGGGUCAGGUCUGUCUUGGAGAACUCAUCCCCAUAGAAGCAAGAGGGAGGCUGUUCCAGUAACUCUUGUGGGAGGUCUAGCUGGGAAGCCAUCAUUGGCAGCACCGCACUCCCCCUGUUCCCAGACAGGAUUUCAGCCCAUUACAAGGACUAGCUCAGCUCCUGCCUCUGGUGCUUUGGUCUGCUAGAAAACUCAGACAUCAAUAAGGCAGUUAAGUUUGUAUAUUGAAUCAUGCAAAGUAUGGAUUAUGCAAAACAGCCCAGCUGUAAUUUCGAGUGAAAGGAGAGACAGGUCAACACUUUGCAGGACUUUACAGGACAGAACUCUAAGCACUGCAAGAGAUCCUGACACCAGUGAAUGAGUCCAUGCAGCAGAUCAUAAACACAUCACCAAGUCAUGAUAUUGGAACAUCACUUCCUGCCGAUACCUAAAUAUUAAUGUAAGUGAAACCUGAAGGGGUUGCUUUUAGUGUGUGGUGAAUGUUGCAUCGUCACCAGGUGACCAAUGUUGGUUUUUUUUUAAUCAUUGAAUGUGCUCCUUUAUCAAAGUGCCUUUGAGAUAAGUAGAAGUAAGGCUUGAGGUGAUUUGUAUAAAUCCUGACAAUGGCCUGAGGUGGAAUUAUCGUGGGCUUAAGGACAUACUGAGAGAGGUAUUGAGACAUGGGAUGCAGCUGAGCAAAGGUAGAUACGAAUAGUGUAAGCAGUGAUAACUGAACUACUCACCAUAGCACAAGGUACUAAGAGUACAAUUCACCUUCUCCUAAAUAUCUGAGAUAGUUAGGAUGAACCAGAGCCUGCGGGUGCUGUUUCUUCCCAUCUGCUACUAGGGGGGUGUGAAUGAGCAGCUGAUGUGCAGCUCUCUGCCGCCAGGUGUGACAAGGUGAGCUCUGCUCCCAGAGCCUGCUGAAAAGGCCUGAGUGCCCUCCCCUCUGCAAAACAUGGUCGAGAUGAAAGAAGGUAUGAGCAAACAUUCAGUGCUGCAGAAGUUAGUGCUUUAGUCUGGACUGCUACAAGCAGAAUUCUUCUGUUGGUCAAGAAUCAUUAAAUAAAAGUGGUAUGUAAAGGAUCAGCAAUAAUUAUUGAUAAUAAGCAUCAAGACUAUCAGAGAUACUCCAUAGAGAAAUAAGUCACAAAAAUAAAAUAGAAGCUGCUUUGCACUGCAACAUCAGUACCCCAGGCUGUACUCAUAACAGUCUUUAAUCACCACCUUCACCAUGUCCAUUUGUAACUCAUACUUGUUGAAACGUUACGCUUGCCUUUUGCUUAGGGCCUGGUUUUCUGAAGUGCUGAGCAUCCUCAUCUCACAUCAACAUCAACACGUUGUAGACUUUUACCUAGGGAGAGAUGAAAUAUAGCACAUAAUGUUUCAUAUCGCAUAGGUGUGGAAGGCUGUGAAUCAAGGAAACAAUUGCUUUUAAAUAAAUUAUGUGCAAAUAGAAAAGUGAUAACGUAAUGCAUGAUUUGAGAGCAAAAGCCCAGCUCCUGUGAAUUCAUUUUAGUAACAGUGAAGAGUGAUACCACUAAGAAUGCUGUUCUAUGGAGUCAGUUGGCAUCUCCAUUGUAUAACGUGGAUUGCUGGAGGUGGUAUGUCUGCCAGUUCAAGUCAUACUGAGCUGCAAUUUAGUGUGAAAAAAAAUAAGAAUUUUUAAAUUGCUGAAGUGAUGGAAUUUCUCUCUUCUCUCUCUGCAUCACAAACAAAACAGAAUUUAGAUUUUAUGAAUUAUUGGCCAACUCUCUUAUCAUUAACACCUUCCUUUUAUUUGAAUGGAUAAUAGGAAAGGAAGAUGAAGAUAAGCUAGCUCAACAUUUAAAAGAUUUGCUCAGCGCAGACAGUCCUUUCUUUCCACAAGAUUUUUUGCUGCAAAAUGAGAAAUACAUUACAAGCCUGAAUUAACCAUAAUAUUAACAGAAAAACAGUACAGACAAUUUGUAACAAAUGCUUAAGUAAGCAUAUCCUUCAAAAAAGAGGUGUCAUGAAAAACAUUAGAAGUGAAACUUGCUUGCACCAAAGCCUACGCUUGCAUUUCCAUUGACUCCAGACUGAGAAGAACUUAGAUCCUGGGAAGUUCAGUUCAAAAAUAGUUGUCUUUGUGUCAGUGAGUCUAGGAUUGUGGGCUCUAUGACUUUCCACAUGAAUGCUAAAGGGAGUAAAAUGCUACAAAUCCCUGUUUCUGAAAUGAUACAUGGAAAUAAAUUACAGUUAUAUGAGUUUUAGAGUCCUACCAAAAUUUCUGGGUUACCACAUCUGCAGUCCUACAAAAGGUAGAUCUUCCCAGGUUCUUGUUAAAUCUGACUUAGAGAAGCAGCUCAGGACCCAUUUCAGUGUUUGUUAUCAGCUUUUUCAAGUAUUUCAGUUACGAUUACUAGCUAUAGAAGGUCUGAAACUCUUUGUUUUGGCUGUAUACAGAAUUUUCCAAAUUCACUGUUUGUAAUCUAGAACUAAAGACUGAUUUAUCCGGGCAUUUUCAAAUAAGUUGGUUCAAAAUGUGUCUGUCAAUUUAUUGACCUGUAAGAGCUUCCCAAAGUUGAUUCUGGUUUGGCCUGGUAAAUAACCAGCCUUUCUAAAUUCUCUGAUGUUUAAAGAUAGUGGCAAGGUGGUUUGGUCAUGCAUUUCUAUAAUGUAAGUAAGAAGUAAGCAAAUUUCUUUCUUUUUCCUCUCUUGUGUGCUUUAUUCACAUUUUUUCAUUGCUUGAGAUGUCUACAGCUUUAUACAGUUUUGAACAGGACUGAAUAUACAGUUGCCCACUUUUGAGCUACUGCUAAAUGGAAUUCAGCAUGUUGUAUGUUGUAUGGGUUGGAGAACAGCAGAGUUGCUCGGGGGAGUGAGGGGAAUCAGGUGUGCUGCUGACAUGCUGUCUGCUCCAAAGAUGCUUGAACCCUGCUGUCCUGAGCAUGGGAGCGCUCAUGGAAUUGGAGGAAGGUUCCUUGUUCUCAUGUCCAGCGAACAGCAGGACUGAAAACCCUCUCUGUAGGCUCCUCCCAAAGCCAUGCACCACUACUCCUGCAGGCUUAUACCUCUCUUCCCAGUCUGCUCCUGAGUUCUGUCUCUGCUUCUCCAUCUGCUAGCUUUUUUCUACAUAAAUCCCUGCCCCAAACAAGAUCAACAAUGCUCCCCACCCAGAUCUUUUAAAUUCCUGAGCAACCUUGUAUUCACCUUGUGUAGGGCAGAAACAUGUGCUGAACUGCUUCUUACAGCUCAGAAGAGAUGUGCGGUGGUUAAUCCUACCAUUUUCAACUAGGCUGAACUCAGCUUAUAACAAAACCAUCGGUAAAAAUGUAACCACUUCACAACUGUGUAUGUGUGCAUGUGUAGUAUGUGGAAGGAAUUUGCAAAAGAAUUGGCCAUCUUUCCAUGAAGUUCCAGCAGGAUCCACAAUCAGAAUGAGGACUCAGUUCAGUUCAUUUGCGAGUUUCAUAUAGGAAGAAGUGUGUAGUUCUUAGUGAUUUAUUCUGUUGGAACUAUAGAUUCUGGUGCCCUUAUGGUUUCUUCUUCAGACAUCAAGCCCCACCAUUUUGAUUCUGAACUGGCCCAAUCUAAACACUAGAUUGGGAGCCAGAGAGGCCACAGUAGUUGUUAAGUUUAGUCAGUCAGCCAUACACAUCUUCUGGGCUGGAACCAGCUUCCACCUGGCCAGUUUGGAGGAGUGUCUGCACUUCUCUCAGUUCACAGACUAACCUGGAUUAGCAAGCCUUUGCCUUCCUGAGAUCAUGGCAUUUGGAAUGGUUGAAUUACCUAGGGAGGUCUCUCUACUGAUGCUUUGCCAUAACAAAAACUCUGUUAUGUUCUGCUCACAAAUGCAUAAAAUAGUGCUUAUUGAACUUGAAUGUGUCAUAUAUGUGAACCCCAAAUUAUGCUGAUGUUGAUGAUCUUAAUAAGACAGCAUUUUAUGCUCUGAAAGGGCUUGUGCAUGAUGCAUUCUGUGGUCACUUGGAGGUAGGAGUUCUGUGAUGCAGUGUGGUCUCCCAUCAGCAGCAGGCAUGUUGAGCAAGGGAAGGGAAUGGUUAGGAGGCACUCCAUAACCUGACAUCUUCUUAAAGAGUUUAUAUUAAGGUGAGUUAUCACACAUAGCCAACUCUAAUCCCUUCUAAACGAAGGUUCUGUUUAUAGAAUAUCCAGGUCAGGAUUAUAAAUCUCUGAACAAAUCACAGGUAUAAUUAAAAGGAAUAAUGCCAAUUUUAUUUUCUAGUCGAUCUCUGUACUCCUUGGACUUCUCACAGAUAAAUACAGAUAGUAUCUCUGUGAACUAAUAGUAACUUGUUCGUUAUAGCACCUUUGAUUUUACCACUAGAUUGAAAUACAUACUAGUAUUAAACAUUGUAUAUAGUAUAACAAAGUGGUUAAUUCUUUCAGUUUUGCACUGCUGUGUUCAAUGGAGCUUUAGAAGUAUUUCCAAAGAAAUUUCCAACCUUCAUUUACUCUUUGUAGAUAAAUUUGUUUUGCCUUUUUCAUGCCAUUUUUGUGGUCAGUUUCGAGCAGUCAUCUUCAGUUCACCAAUGAGAAUUUCACAGGAAUGGAGGGGUUUCUCAAUGUGUCAUGGAAUUUUUGAAGAACAGGAUCUAUUUAAUCUUUGUCAUAUUACUUUGCAACAAAAACCUGAUUCUGAGAGAUAAGAAAAGACGACAGGACAGAGGGGAGCACCACAUGACCUAAUCUUACAUUUAAAGAGGUAGCACAUUCAUUUUAAAUUGAAUAUUUGUUAACGACUCCUUGUAAGGUGUUCAGAAAAUAACAAAGAUAACUUUACAAAGCAGAGCUUUACUGAGAGGGAAAAAAAUGGAAAAAGAUAUUAUGUCUUAGUAGGGUUAACAGGAACAUAUAUAUGUUCUAUCAGUAAAGCCAAUUACUGUAGUCAGUACAGUCAGUGGUACUUAACUAGUAGAUAUCUGGCAUAGUUAAAGGUAGCUUGUAACCCACUUACACAGUAAAGAGUAAGACUAGUACAGAAAUGUUCAAUUCUUUCAAUUAAAGCAUUUUAUCAAAUGCAGUAAACCAGUAUAUAACUUUGCUUUGAGAAAAAAGCCAAGAUGGAAAAAGGAUAAUUAUACUGUUCAGGUAAAUAACAUUUUCCUGACAGGAGUCCAAGUUAUAUUAAAAAAAAGAAAAAAGAAAAAAAAAAGGCUACCUUUCUUAGUUUCUAUUUUCCACUGGAGGUGUAGGGAAAAAUGCAUAUAGAAGUUUUUUUUUUUUUUUUUUUUUUUUUCCCUCAGUAUUUGGUGGUCCUUCCUUAAAACUUUUAAAACCAAAGCCAUUUCUCACAUCUGGUUGGAACACAGAUCUUUAAGCCAUUCAAGUAAUUCAAAUCACAUGUAAAAAUCUAAGCUACAGUGUAUGAAAUUCAAGAACAAUGUAGUUCUUACAGGGUCUGCAGUGUGCCACCUCUUUUAAUCAAUAACAGCCUCAGUUCAGUUUAUCUGUAAAUACAAGACUGCAGUUAAGAAUGAUCUACUGCAUUAUUUCAGUACUGAGAAUAGCAAGUUACCAGAUUAGUGACACUUUACAACUAUAAUAAUCUUAUCCCUGUACUCUAGAUGAAGUUCACAGCAAUACAGACUGUAUCAGAUUAUAGUUCCAAUGGAAAAUAUUGAAGAUCACUAAUAUCAAUACACAUUUCCUUAUCUCAACCAUUUGUAACUGCUUGUAUUGACUUUCAUUACAUUCCAGCAGUUCUGCUUAUUCCCAAAUGGUAGUCAUUAAUUUCCAUUAACUAAGGCACAACUAUACAUAAUUUAAAUUGUUUCCAAUAAAUGUUCAAUUAAUGUCUGUUAUCUGCAUUUAAUUUCCAUCGAUUCCAAAAAGCUACUGUUGAGCUUAAUUGCCACCAUAAUUAAAACAGUUUACCAUGAGCGUAAUUGGGUCUCCAUUAAUACCAAUGGACAGCUACAAGGACUGAUUACUCUCUUACUGUCAAGCAGUAGGGAGCAGUGCUACACAGAGAUCGCAGUGCAAAUGAAUGGCUACAAACCCAAACAGCUGCGGCUGAAGUUGACCAGAGAACAGUAUUUACCACAGCAACAAACGCAUGCUUUUCUAGGAUACCGGUCCAGAUGGCCAGAAAAUAUUCUAGAGGUUUCCUUAAGCUUAGUAUGGGAGAAAAAAAGUGAAUUACAUCAGACUGUUGAAAGUAGCACGGUAUCCUGGCUUGAAAUUUGUUCCACUUCAAAUAAAAGUGACAGCUGACAAAGGGAAGUUCUAGACCAACAGAAAAAUGGGUGCAACUCAUUUAAUCCUUUUUUUUUUCCCCCUAUAAGUUUGUCUGUUCAAAUACAGUGCCUGACCAAGAACUGGGGAGAAAAAAAUAAUAAAAGAAUAAAACCUCUACCUAUAGGACUGCUUCAGAUUGUUGGGGGGUGCUAUAGGUCCAUAGCAAUAGCUUAAAUUCAAUGAGAGUAGAUCACUUUAACAUAUUGUUAGGUAUUCUAUAUACAAGUCAGCUACAUUUAGAAUCUCAGAAAUUGCCAAUUCAUGAGAACAAAACAUCUGCUUAAGAGCGAUGAUCUUGACUAAUGUUCCCUUUGAAGAGAUAAACAAAAGAAUCAGCUUGCUGAAAAUUAAAUGUUACUACAUUUUCAGAAUGACAUUUUCAAUUUUGCAUUGCAAAAUGUUUUUUUCCUGUUUUCCAUACUAUUUCAAAUUGAGAUCUAAAUGGAAUAUUUUCCUUUUAUUCAAAUCACUUGAUUGACCAACAAGUAUUUUAUUCAUAAUCAUGCUUUGUAAUGGCUUUCUGGAUUGUUUUAUUGCUUUAAUUAGGAGUGGAAGUAAAAUUCACCCCUAAGACAUUGCCUGAGAUGAAAAGUCUGGAUUUCGCUGGGCUUCAGCUAGAGUACUUUUUCGCUAGCUUCACUUUCUGAAUAUAUUCAAAGCCUUGUCCAAAGUAGAGUUCAUUAAAAUAGACCAGCAUUAAAUCAUGGAGGGCAGAGCUUUGGUGUCAAGAAAUCUGUCUUACAAAGGAAAGAUUGCUGCCUUCUAGCUACAAAUACUCUUAUAAGGUCUGCACUGCCAGUCAGAAAGGACCUCCAAGCUAGUCCUGUGCUAAAGUUGUCACACAUCCCACACUGUACUAUGGUCAGACCUCUUGUCUACUAUGAAAUGAAAGUGAGUAUGGCUUUUCCUAUAUUUUUAUUGCAGCCUACUGUUUUUUAACAGUUCUGCAUUUGCAUGGCAAAUACAACAGAUGUUGAUUUGGGGCUGGAGUGCUUUAAAUUACCAUUGGACCUAAAAGUCCCAAAAUUUGAAGACAAUCCUGAUAGCUAUAUAUAAUGAACUGUUAUUCUAUUGUAAUGAAUGUUAAUCGUUUAACACCAAGUUAUCACCACAAGAAAAUGUGCGACUACCUCCACUGUUCCACUUGUACCCUCUUGUAUCUGUACUGCCCACCCAAAGACGGAGAAAUCCUGUAGACUUGACAAUCCUACUAUCCUAUAGACCUGAAAUCAAUAGUGUCAGGACAUCCCUGCUUGCAGCAGUUGUAAUGUGGCUAAUACACAGUCAGGAUGUGCUCCUACAUAGCAGGCAUCACUGUGCACCCACUCCUUCCAGUCCCUGCAACACCAUUGAGCUCCUAAUUAGAGAAGUUCACCUCAUACAAGAGUGUGAGCUGCCAUAGCAUUAGGUACAAGGUGGUACCUGGGGGUGAGGAAAAUUCCAAUUCCGUGUCCUCCUUUCUCAUUUAUGAGAGAGUUCUUAGGGUGGAAUAAAUUAAACAAAGGAAAUUAUGUUAUCAAAUCAGUUAAAUUUAUCUGUAUAUCCUUUCUGGUGCCAUAAAAGGUGACCGUUUUUCGAUCUUCAAAUGAAAUUUGGAGCAUAACUGAAAGAACAAAUUGUAAAGACUGGAGUUUUGUUUUGGAAAAUACCUUGCUACCAAUAUCUUGCAAAUAAAGAAUGUAAGCUCAAACAGAAUGAUGACCAAAUGGCUAAGACCAUAGUAUCAGGGCCUCAACAGCUUACCCUGUAAUUGCAUGGCAGCUAGAAAAGGCUGAAGUAGGCAGACAGUUGCCACAUCUCUGCUAUUCUGCUACAAAGGAAGAAGAGCAGAGAGGUGUGUUUUUUGUCUUGGGAAAAAUCAAAUUGCUAUCUCAGCUGUUGCUUUCCGUAUUGCCUCUACAUCAGAGAAAAACCAUACUUCCUUGUGUCCACUGUUCAGUUACUCAUCCCACUAAGGAGUAAGCAAGGAGAGAGGAAGAAAAAAGGACAAGUAAAAGGCUGAACAAGUCAGUGAUCAAGUGAGCCUUUGUUUUGAAGGCAGACACACAAUCUAAGGGGCAAUACUCCAUCUACAUCGUAGAGAAGGUUCAGCUCUUGAGCAGCUUAGAGCACAUCACUACAGCCAGGUCUCAAGGUGGCAAAGUCUUAGGCAACAGUUACAAACUUUGCAUCUGAAAUAAAAGUGACACCUCUUAAAACCAAACCCAGAUGUUGAGGGUAAUGGGCUACAGGAAUAUCUAGGAAGUGCUGAGCCUCUCAGGCAGCCCUGACAUGCAAACAUGCAUAACAAGGAGUUUAUGCACAUUCUGUAGAGGACUGAUACUGUAAAGAGCUGAUGCAAAGAACUGAACAAAGGAAACCAUUGUGAUACACAAUAAAGAAGGAAUUAUCUUGGUCUCUUGGAGAACUGUCUCUUGAAACCUUAUCUAUUAACUACUUACAUAGACACAGAUAUCAGCAGUGAUGGAUACUACCUGUUCUUCCUUCUGAUUCUUUCCCUUUCAUGCCAACAUUACAUCUGCCAGUUCAGGUCUAAGUCUUUCCAGCUAGCUCUCUUUCAAGAUUCUGUGUCAGCAAGUCUUCUGUGAGGCACCCUCCAGCAAUUUAGCAUAUAAGAUGAGAGCUGUGUGGUUUCUGGAACAUUAGAGUUUACACAUCUAAUCGCUCAGGUAUUCCUGAGCACAUUUAGCAAGAGAUCUGACAGUUAACAUCUAUCUAAAGGACUUGGUCCUUAGAGAGGAUGUUCACUGUUUCACACCAGAAUCUCUCAGAAAGGAGUCGAGUCUCUGCUUGGCAAUGGCAUUUAUCCCAAGUACUGACUGAUAAUGUGCCAUCUAUAUUUCAUACAGUUCCUCUGUAAUAAUCAACUGAUAAUGCAAGUAAACUUUAUUUCUAGAUCUUC